This 234-nucleotide ribosomal RNA is filed under the name uncultured bacterium. RNAcentral's name for it is "partial 16S ribosomal RNA". It matches the Rfam family "Bacterial small subunit ribosomal RNA", at positions 88 to 339 of the family's 1533-position model. The record is from RNAcentral.
AUACAGAGCGGCGCACGGGUGAGUAACGCGUGGGAACGUGCCCAUCGAUUCGGAAUAACUCAGGGAAACUUGUGCUAAUACCGAAUACGCCCCAAGGGGGAAAGAUUUAUCGUCGAUGGAGCGGCCCGCGUCCGAUUAGCUUGUUGGUGAGGUAAAAGCUCACCAAGGCGACGAUCGGUAGCUGGUUUGAGAGAACGAUCAGCCACACUGGGACUGAGACACGGCCCAGACUCC